RNAcentral lists this ribosomal RNA (253 nucleotides) under uncultured bacterium. RNAcentral describes it as "partial 16S ribosomal RNA". It matches the Rfam family "Bacterial small subunit ribosomal RNA", at positions 524 to 776 of the family's 1533-position model. The record is from RNAcentral.
UACGGGUGGGGCAAGCGUUGUUCGGAAUUACUGGGCGUAAAGGGCUCGUAGGCGGCCAACUAAGUCAGACGUGAAAUCCCUCGGCUUAACCGGGGAACUGCGUCUGAUACUGGAUGGCUUGAGAUUGGGAGAGGGAUGCGGAAUUCCAGGUGUAGUGGUGAAAUGCGCAGAUAUCAGGAAGAACACCUAUGGCGAAGGCAGCUCUCUGGGACGGUACUGACGCUGAGACGCGAAAGCGUGGGGAGCGAACAGG